Molecule: transfer RNA, 75 nt
Filed under: Daphnia pulex (common water flea)
Lineage: Eukaryota; Metazoa; Arthropoda; Branchiopoda; Diplostraca; Daphniidae
Rfam family: tRNA
About the family: Transfer RNA (tRNA) molecules are approximately 80 nucleotides in length. Their secondary structure includes four short double-helical elements and three loops (D, anti-codon, and T loops). Further hydrogen bonds mediate the characteristic L-shaped molecular structure. tRNAs have two regions of fundamental functional importance: the anti-codon, which is responsible for specific mRNA codon recognition, and the 3' end, to which the tRNAs corresponding amino acid is attached (by aminoacyl-tRNA synthetases). tRNAs cope with the degeneracy of the genetic code in two manners: having more than one tRNA (with a specific anti-codon) for a particular amino acid; and 'wobble' base-pairing, i.e. permitting non-standard base-pairing at the 3rd anti-codon position.
Source: Rfam by way of RNAcentral
GUUUCAAUAGCUCAGCUGGUUUAGAGCACUGAUCUUAUAAGUCAGGGGUCUCGGGUUCGAAUCCCGAUUGAAACA